GGCCCCAGGUCAGGCGUGAGUACCCGCUGAGUUUAAGCAUAUCACUAAGCGGAGGAAAAGAAACUUACCAGGAUUCCCCUAGUAACGGCGAGCGAACCGGAAGAGCCCAGCAGGAAAAUCGGCCAAUCUACCCGCCAAAUGGUAUUCGGAAAAAGCGUAA
This 160-nucleotide ribosomal RNA is filed under the name Taxus mairei. Its description in RNAcentral is "partial 28S ribosomal RNA". It matches the Rfam family "Eukaryotic large subunit ribosomal RNA", at positions 1 to 173 of the family's 3401-position model. Lineage: Eukaryota; Viridiplantae; Streptophyta; Pinopsida; Cupressales; Taxaceae. The record is from RNAcentral.